AUACGGAGGGUGCGAGCGUUAAUCGGAAUUACUGGGCGUAAAGCGUACGUAGGCGGUUGGUUAAGUUAGAUGUGAAAGCCCCGGGCUUAACCUGGGAACUGCAUUUGAUACUGGCAGACUAGAGUAUGAUAGAGGGGGGUAGAAUUCCUGGUGUAGCGGUGAAAUGCGUAGAUAUCAGGAGGAAUACCAGUGGCGAAGGCGGCCCCCUGGAUCAAUACUGACGCUGAGGUACGAAAGCGUGGGGAGCGAACAGGAUUAGAAACCCCAGUAGUCC
This 274-nucleotide ribosomal RNA is filed under the name uncultured bacterium. RNAcentral describes it as "partial 16S ribosomal RNA". It matches the Rfam family "Bacterial small subunit ribosomal RNA", at positions 523 to 796 of the family's 1533-position model. The record is from RNAcentral.